GAGUUUGAUCUUGGCUCAGGGUGGUAGGAACAUUGAGGCUGGGGCCGCCUGAGGCUUUGGCAUGAGGCUGGGGGGCUGAGGAGAGAUGUGAAACAGUUACACCGGGGGUGAAGGUGUCAGAGAGGCCUCUCAGUUUCAGCUUGAGUCGGCAGGCAGGCCAUGGUGGUGGCUGGUGGGGAAGUCACCACUGCCCCAGGCCAGAGAGGAUUGCCUCUGAGCCAGGGAUGUCCAGGGCUGCCUCUGAGAGAGGUACAGGUGGGAGUGGACACGGGCAGGUCAACCACUGUCCCUGCCCCAUGACCCCGACACAGGUCAGAUGACCCAGAUGUGGGGGGCCGAGGGCAGGAGCAGUUGAGGGGCCAGGCUAUCAGCUGAGU
RNAcentral lists this ribosomal RNA (377 nucleotides) under uncultured microorganism. RNAcentral describes it as "partial 16S ribosomal RNA". The record is from RNAcentral.